RNAcentral lists this ribosomal RNA (1405 nucleotides) under Bacillus subtilis. RNAcentral's name for it is "bacterial SSU rRNA". It matches the Rfam family "Bacterial small subunit ribosomal RNA". The record is from RNAcentral. Lineage: Bacteria; Bacillati; Bacillota; Bacilli; Caryophanales; Bacillaceae.
AAGUCGAGCGGACAGAUGGGAGCUUGCUCCCUGAUGUUAGCGGCGGACGGGUGAGUAACACGUGGGUAACCUGCCUGUAAGACUGGGAUAACUCCGGGAAACCGGGGCUAAUACCGGAUGGUUGUUUGAACCGCAUGGUUCAAACAUAAAAGGUGGCUUCGGCUACCACUUACAGAUGGACCCGCGGCGCAUUAGCUAGUUGGUGAGGUAACGGCUCACCAAGGCAACGAUGCGUAGCCGACCUGAGAGGGUGAUCGGCCACACUGGGACUGAGACACGGCCCAGACUCCUACGGGAGGCAGCAGUAGGGAAUCUUCCGCAAUGGACGAAAGUCUGACGGAGCAACGCCGCGUGAGUGAUGAAGGUUUUCGGAUCGUAAAGCUCUGUUGUUAGGGAAGAACAAGUACCGUUCGAAUAGGGCGGUACCUUGACGGUACCUAACCAGAAAGCCACGGCUAACUACGUGCCAGCAGCCGCGGUAAUACGUAGGUGGCAAGCGUUGUCCGGAAUUAUUGGGCGUAAAGGGCUCGCAGGCGGUUUCUUAAGUCUGAUGUGAAAGCCCCCGGCUCAACCGGGGAGGGUCAUUGGAAACUGGGGAACUUGAGUGCAGAAGAGGAGAGUGGAAUUCCACGUGUAGCGGUGAAAUGCGUAGAGAUGUGGAGGAACACCAGUGGCGAAGGCGACUCUCUGGUCUGUAACUGACGCUGAGGAGCGAAAGCGUGGGGAGCGAACAGGAUUAGAUACCCUGGUAGUCCACGCCGUAAACGAUGAGUGCUAAGUGUUAGGGGGUUUCCGCCCCUUAGUGCUGCAGCUAACGCAUUAAGCACUCCGCCUGGGGAGUACGGUCGCAAGACUGAAACUCAAAGGAAUUGACGGGGGCCCGCACAAGCGGUGGAGCAUGUGGGUUUAAUUCGAAGCAACGCGAAGAACCUUACCAGGUCUUGACAUCCUCUGACAAUCCUAGAGAUAGGACGUCCCCUUCGGGGGCAGAGUGACAGGUGGUGCAUGGUUGUCGUCAGCUCGUGUCGUGAGAUGUUGGGUUAAGUCCCGCAACGAGCGCAACCCUUGAUCUUAGUUGCCAGCAUUCAGUUGGGCACUCUAAGGUGACUGCCGGUGACAAACCGGAGGAAGGUGGGGAUGACGUCAAAUCAUCAUGCCCCUUAUGACCUGGGCUACACACGUGCUACAAUGGACAGAACAAAGGGCAGCGAAACCGCGAGGUUAAGCCAAUCCCACAAAUCUGUUCUCAGUUCGGAUCGCAGUCUGCAACUCGACUGCGUGAAGCUGGAAUCGCUAGUAAUCGCGGAUCGCAUGCCGCGGUGAAUACGUUCCCGGGCCUUGUACACACCGCCCUCACACCACCAGAGUUUCUAAAGCCGAAUCGGUGACGUAACCUUUAGGAGGC